AAAGAGGGGAAAUUAAGGUAUAAGAAUUGCUUACUUUCUCUCCGAGGCCUGCCAAGACCGUGUCGCAGAGAAAUCCCCAGUAGAGAAGCUGUUUUUACAAGCCAAGUCUGAAGGAAGGACAACAGCCCGCACCGCCAUGUUUACGGUACAAAGGAGCAGACGGGCCAGUUUAUUAAGCUCUGGGGUGAGAAUGACCACCUUUUUACUGGAGCUAAAAACUCAGCCACCGUGGCUUGGAGAUGGACCAACAGGGGAAGGUCAGCCCCUUGCAGGCCCAAAACAAAGUGGGAGAAUAUGAAAAAGAAAUAUAAAGUUUGUUCAGAACUUCUCAUGUCACACACAAAUAUGACAUGACAACAUGACUACUGUAUGCAAGCAAGGAUAAUAUCAUAGAUGUGAUUAAUGUCUG
Girardinichthys multiradiatus is the source of this 409-nucleotide long non-coding RNA. RefSeq lists it as uncharacterized. The transcript is spliced from 3 exons. The record is from RefSeq and is a predicted model, not a curated record. NCBI's taxonomy places the organism in Eukaryota, Metazoa, Chordata, Actinopteri, Cyprinodontiformes, Goodeidae.